Molecule: ribosomal RNA, 509 nt
Filed under: uncultured bacterium
Lineage: Bacteria
Description: bacterial SSU rRNA
Rfam family: Bacterial small subunit ribosomal RNA
Source: RNAcentral
UUAUGGCUCAGGAUGAACGCUAGCGACAGGCUUAACACAUGCAAGUCGAGGGGCAGCAUAGAAGUAGCAAUACUUGGUGGCGACCGGCGCACGGGUGAGUAACGCGUAUGCAACCUACCUAUCAGAGGGGAAUAACCCGGCGAAAGUCGGACUAAUACCGCAUAAAACAGGGGCACCGCAUGGUGAUAUUUGUUAAAGAAAUUCGCUGAUAGAUGGGCAUGCGUUCCAUUAGGUAGUUGGUGAGGUAACGGCUCACCAAGCCGACGAUGGAUAGGGGAACUGAGAGGUUGGUCCCCCACACUGGUACUGAGACACGGACCAGACUCCUACGGGAGGCAGCAGUGAGGAAUAUUGGUCAAUGGGCGGGAGCCUGAACCAGCCAAGUCCGCGUGAAGGAAGAAGGAUCUAUGGUUCGUAAACUUCUUUUGCAGGGGAAUAAAGUGCAGGACGUGUCCUGUUUUGUAUGUACCCUGAGAAUAAGGAUCGGCUAACUCCGUGCCAGCCGCGGC